RNAcentral lists this unclassified non-coding RNA (773 nucleotides) under Leishmania donovani. RNAcentral describes it as "gene:unknown". Lineage: Eukaryota; Euglenozoa; Kinetoplastea; Trypanosomatida; Trypanosomatidae. The record is from RNAcentral.
CUCUUUCUUGUGAAGUCCCCGCCAGAGCCUUCAACUCCGCAUGCUUAUGCUAGGAGGCGUCCGACCGGGUGCUGUGACCAAUAUGCUGUCCGCGAUACCGAGUACCGUUCGAGGCUCAGAGCACACCGCGUUUUGCGCAAUGGUCUUGUACGCAAUGAGCUGAUUACGCGCGCAUCUCCCAUCGCACUGGAUCGGCUCCUCACCUGUCGGGUGUGCACGGCUGCCUCUCCCACUGUGCCCCUUUAGGAGGUCAAGCCUAGAGAUCAGAGUGCGCUAGCACAUGUCUCUCUGCGAGCCCCUUCCGCUUGACACGCCCACGCCUGUGAGAGGCGUGCGGGCUUAGGGGAAGUCGGAGUGCCCUUGGUGCCACAAGCUCAUAGCAGCGUCCCACCUGUCGCGGCGCACGCAGGCAAGCCAUCCAGACACGCCCACCUCAAAAAAAAAAUGGCACAAACGGAAAUGUAAGAUCAAAAAAAUAGCAAGCCCCUUCCCCAGACAACAGCAUCGUCCUGAAACAAGCCCAAGGAUGCAGGAAUGCGAGCACUGUGCGCACGCGCUGCCAUGCACAGCUGGCACGGUGUCUCACACCCAGACAAAGCAUCUAGAGGUCGGAGGAGCACGAGUGGGGGAAGGAAAAGGUGCCAAUAUAUCCACGCCAAUCAAUGACCCAGUGCAUGUGCACGAAGCAUGCAGCUUCUUCUGCAUCUCACCGGCGGACUGAUGAGGCAUAGAUGCCGGAAGCAGCACGAGACCCCCCCCCCCCCCCCCCCCAG